Long non-coding RNA from Paramisgurnus dabryanus, 1298 nucleotides. RefSeq lists it as uncharacterized. The record is from RefSeq and is a predicted model, not a curated record. Lineage: Eukaryota; Metazoa; Chordata; Actinopteri; Cypriniformes; Cobitidae.
ACAACACACGUGACGGACGUGACUAAACCUCAUUGGUUCUUGGGAUUCAUUACGUCACAUUGGCUUCCUGAUGAUUCUGUUGUUCGAUACACAACGUGCGUGAUCGUUGGUAAAUGUGGAUUAAAAGUUGAAACUAAAACUGUUAAAUUAUAGUGAUCAUCAGAGGACUUGGCUGAAACAACGCGAUUCACAUGGAUUACUUCCGCGAUGUUUUUAUUGUUGUUGCGAUUAACUUUUGGAAAUGUGAGCAGUUUUUAUGUAUCAAGUGGAUCUGACAUCGAGGGGAAAUAUACGUUUCUUGGAUUUCAUUAAAGUACAUCGUUUUUUGUUUGAAGAUGAAUGAGAGAACAUGAGGGUAAGUUAAGUGAUGACAGAUUUUUGCUUUUUUAUUUUUAGUGAACUAUUAAAUAAGUAGAACAUUUAGUAUAACAGUAUGUCUUAAUUUUAACCCAGCUUCUUCAAGCGUGUAUGUUGUGUGGCUUUUGGAACAUAACGUUACAUUUUUUGUGAGUAAAGUUAGGCAUUUAAUUUCUCUUGUUGUAUUUCAGAAAUCAUAACAUCCUGUCUUUUUUAGCACAGCGGCAUUCAAAUUGACCAAUCAGAGCCGAGAAUAUCUAAUAAGUCGAAGUAGAGAUGAACAGAUGAAGAUACAGCCCAUAAAAAUACUUAUUCUUGGUGAGUGCCAUGUAGCGACGGAUCAAACGGACACUCAUGUCAAGCUUGAUGAGGACACAGUCAAAGCUUUAAAAGACCUUGUGAUUAAGUCUUCAGUGUCUGAAUGGCUAGAAGAAGUGACCCUCCACUUAAACGUGACAUUUAAACUGCUCUGUGUUUUGGUUCAGCCAUUUGCAGGUUUAUCUCGAGUUAGUUCAAAUGCACUUCUGCAUUUGUCCAGUAACUUUUUGUUUAGAGAAUUACAUCAUUAUGAUUAUAUAAUUAUUCAAUGGUUGCAUAUUCAUAGUGUACUUUUCAUAUUGAUGUAUUAAUGUUCCACAAUUUGAUAAAAGUAGCUCAUUGCAUUUCACUGAUCUUUGUUUUAUAUUGUAAAAUCAUUUCAAUAGCAGUAAAUACAUACUUAGUUGUUUCUUUAACAUUUAAUUAGUUGUUAAUGAUAGAAGAAACCGGUUCGUAUGUAUGAAUACAGAAUAGGUAUCAUUUUAGAAUGAGUUAAAACAUGUUUUGGUGGAAAACAUGCAGGUAAAAUAGUACAUAUAUAACAUUCUAAUAGUAUACUUGACUCUAAUUAAAAUGUCAACAAGAAGUACAUUAGAAAUGAUUUAUUUUAUGUAUACAAAUGU